GAAGGAUGACACCACAUUUACAACUGCCACUCAGCUUUGAAGUCGGCAGAGUGGGUCAUGUCACCACCUGCUUUAAACCCUUCAGCGGUUUCUCACUGAUUCAGGAUAAAGAACAGAAUCCUUCAUACAGCUUAUGAGAUUCUACAUGAGUCGUGCUCUGUCAGUCUCUCCAAGCAAUGUUUUGUUUUCUGAUUCGCUUCAUUUUCCGUGUUAGUAUUUACUGAGGUUGCCAGGUUCUCACGUGGGUUAGUACUAAGCUGUCUCUAAGUGAGCUCAUUAAUAUCGUGGCAGCUCACAGGAAUGGCAAAAGGUCCUUGAGGCUUAAGCUGUGCUUGAAGUUUUGAUGAAGGUAGGAGUCCUGACUGGAUCUGUCCUCAACGACAGUGAAUCCUUUUGGUUUCAGAUGCAGUGCAUGGAGCACAAAUAUUCAUGCAUUUAUAGAUGAUGCUACUGCUAGGUCGCCAGGUCACAAGUGGGUCUUUCAAGCCUGCAUGUUGCCGAGGGACUCUAAACUGAUCCAUUCCCAGCGCAACCUUUCCACAUUCUACCUGUAAUAGUUCUGGAUUCCAGCUUUGCCCUGCAGCUGGGGUGAAGAAGGCCUACCAAAAGUUGCAAAUGAAGUACCUAUGUCCCAGAGGUGUUGAUAAAAUGGAUUUUAAAAAAAGAAUCAUAUGAAUAAUUCAAUGCUGUGGGUCCUGUAGUGGUGGGAUUAUUUUGCACUACACAAGAAACAUGGAGUGUGCUUUAUCUUAGAUGUAGGCAGCCUAGUGGGCUGGAACCAGAUGUAGGCCAUUGGAUUUGCUCUCAGGCUGUAUCAGGUCAAAUGGAGAGAUAUGAAGAGGUCAUCCUUCCUCGUUUUGAUAAAUCACACACACACAUUUUCUUGGAGUGUAACAGUGAUGUUGCCACCAUUGUUUUGUUUUAAAACUUAGGAAAUACUCAACCUGGUUGUAAUAAAAGAUGAUAACUUAAUGAAUAAUAGGGUCACCCAUCU
Molecule: long non-coding RNA, 994 nt
Organism: Manis pentadactyla (Chinese pangolin)
Lineage: Eukaryota; Metazoa; Chordata; Mammalia; Pholidota; Manidae
Exons: 3
Source: RefSeq, a predicted model, not a curated record